UUUACCUCUCAAACCCGCGUUCACUUCUCAAACCAGAAAGAAAGCAGCGUUCAUGCGAGAGACAGAGGCCUCAGAGAUCAUAGUCGUCUAAGAGGGGGUUUGAGCAUGAGGACAAAGGUGAUUUUGCAACCUCACCAAAGCAUUUCAGAGUUGCUUGGGUGAAACUGAUGACUCUGUGCAUUGCAGUACUACAACAACAAAAUGGCGGAAUUACAUCUAUUCGUGGACUUUGAAAUAGAAACAAGGCUUGCCAUUGGCCUUGCUGUUGUCGUAGGAUAGAGCCAGCGUAUAUGUACAAAAAGUUACGAACAACACAGGAUGUUGACUGACUUUGAAGGUGCUACAAGAAAAAUGAAGUAAGGUUACGCAUCUGGUCUAGCAAAGAGAAAAGGUUUGAAGCUGCAUUUGGAGCCUCAUGUGUUUGGCUUGCGAGCUUGAUUUGCUUUCCUAGGAUGCAGUGAUUUGAGGUGUAACUUUGCGCUUACUAGAUCUCUCAACUCAAUCUUAGAUGAAGUCGGUUUUAGCAGAACAUGACUAUAUGUAAAGACCUAUCCAAACUCUUUUGAACAAUGAGCAGCUCAGUAUUGUCGAUAUUUUGAUGUUUUGACUGCUACUUGAUUUAUUAAAAUAUGGCCAAUAUUUUGACAUGACAAACAGCAUAAAAAAACAUGUUAUUAUCCUAUUUUUUGUUACUUAGACUUGCUAAACAAAGCAAGAUACCACUAUUUAGAUCUCCAUGUCAAUAUAAAUAGUACCAUUUUUCCUA
Prunus avium (sweet cherry) is the source of this 766-nucleotide non-coding RNA. The record is from RefSeq and is a predicted model, not a curated record. NCBI's taxonomy places the organism in Eukaryota, Viridiplantae, Streptophyta, Magnoliopsida, Rosales, Rosaceae.